AGAUGAGGUAGAGGUGCGAAACUCAUUAGUAUUACCAGGGAGAUAAGGGAAUUUAUGAACUGGUAGAAAGGGGAUUUCGCCGAAGUCUGAUAAUUACCCUAAAUUAUUAGGCUGGGACUGUGCUGAAUAAGUACAGUACUGUCACUUAUGGCUACCCAAGUCAUAAGUGGAGUGCUAUCUCAUUG
RNAcentral lists this non-coding RNA (185 nucleotides) under Clostridiaceae bacterium. RNAcentral's name for it is "Lysine sequence". It matches the Rfam family "Lysine riboswitch aptamer". From Rfam's summary of the family: Riboswitches are metabolite binding domains within certain messenger RNAs that serve as precision sensors for their corresponding targets. Allosteric rearrangement of mRNA structure is mediated by ligand binding, and this results in modulation of gene expression. The record is from RNAcentral. Lineage: Bacteria; Bacillati; Bacillota; Clostridia; Eubacteriales; Clostridiaceae.